UGUAUCCUGAGUUUCUGUAGCAGCAUGUUCUCCUUCUACUAAGUAAAUUUAUAUAACUAUCAUGGCUGGCGUGAGACUCUUGAUAAAUGCAGAAUCAACAGGGAAACUCAGCAAGGCCCAGGGGUGAGAGGCGAGCCUUCAGCUGCUACAUCCAUCCACACGAUGAUAAGAACCUGUUUACCUGAGAUUCCUGGAAUGCCUCCCCAUGCUAAUGAGACAUCUCAGGACCUUGGCCUUCAGCCAAUGACUUUGCCCACCCUGGAUAUCCCAGCCUGAUCUUCCAAAACUAUAUAACCCUUGAUUCACCCUGAAUAAAGCUGAUCUGUCUCCCCAAA
This is a long non-coding RNA of Mastomys coucha (southern multimammate mouse), 335 nucleotides long. RefSeq lists it as uncharacterized. The transcript is spliced from 3 exons. The record is from RefSeq and is a predicted model, not a curated record. NCBI's taxonomy places the organism in Eukaryota, Metazoa, Chordata, Mammalia, Rodentia, Muridae.